RNAcentral lists this ribosomal RNA (291 nucleotides) under uncultured bacterium. RNAcentral's name for it is "partial 16S ribosomal RNA". It matches the Rfam family "Bacterial small subunit ribosomal RNA", at positions 505 to 796 of the family's 1533-position model. The record is from RNAcentral.
GUGCCAGCAGCCGCGGUAAUACGUAGGUCCCAAGCGUUGUCCGGAUUUAUUGGGCGUAAAGCGAGCGCAGGUGGUUUCUUAAGUCUGAUGUAAAAGGCAGUGGCUCAACCAUUGUGUGCAUUGGAAACUGGGAGACUUGAGUGCAGGAGAGGAGAGUGGAAUUCCAUGUGUAGCGGUGAAAUGCGUAGAUAUAUGGAGGAACACCGGAGGCGAAAGCGGCUCUCUGGCCUGUAACUGACACUGAGGCUCGAAAGCGUGGGGAGCAAACAGGAUUAGAUACCCUGGUAGUCC